AGCAGUAGCCAGCACCACCCUGCAA
This 25-nucleotide unclassified non-coding RNA is filed under the name Mus musculus (house mouse). RNAcentral's name for it is "oocyte_clustered_small_RNA7747". Lineage: Eukaryota; Metazoa; Chordata; Mammalia; Rodentia; Muridae. The record is from RNAcentral.